GACGAACGCUGGCGGCGCGCUUAACACAUGCAAGUCGAACGGAAAGGCCUGCUUUCCCUUGUGGAUUGCGGGUACUCGAGUGGCGAACGGGUGAGUAACACGUGAGUGAUCUGCCCCCAACUUGGGUAUAAGCCUGGGAAACUGGGUCUAAUUCCCGAUAGGACUGCAGGGUGGUGCCUGUGGUGGAAAACGAUUUUCUAGUGGUUGGGGAUGAGCUCGCGGCCUAUCAGCUUGUUGGUGGGGUAAUGGCCUACCAAGGCGGCGACGGGUAGCCGGCCUGAGAGGGUGGACGGCCACAUUGGGACUGAGAUACGGCCCAGACUCCUACGGGAGGCAGCAGUGGGGAAUAUUGCACAAUGGGCGGAAGCCUGAUGCAGCGACGCCGCGUGGGGGAUGACGGCCUUCGGGUUGCAAACUCCUUUCGACCGCGAGGAAGCCACCUGGUUGGAAGGGUGGUGACGGUAGUGGUAGAAGAAGCACCGGCUAACUACGUG
This 494-nucleotide ribosomal RNA is filed under the name uncultured bacterium. Its description in RNAcentral is "partial 16S ribosomal RNA". It matches the Rfam family "Bacterial small subunit ribosomal RNA", at positions 28 to 507 of the family's 1533-position model. The record is from RNAcentral.